ACUGGAGGACCAAGAAGGCUGAGUCUGAUGAAGCAAGACUUCGCUGAUACACUCCUCCUAGACAAAGGGGUGGAGAAAGCAGCCCUUAUUGAAGAAAACCAAAGGGUUGACUGAAAUACCCAACAUUU
Molecule: non-coding RNA, 128 nt
Organism: Onychomys torridus (southern grasshopper mouse)
Lineage: Eukaryota; Metazoa; Chordata; Mammalia; Rodentia; Cricetidae
Product: small Cajal body-specific RNA 4
Exons: 1
Source: RefSeq, a predicted model, not a curated record